Molecule: unclassified non-coding RNA, 195 nt
Filed under: plant metagenome
Description: partial contains small subunit ribosomal RNA, internal transcribed spacer 1, and 5.8S ribosomal RNA
Source: RNAcentral
UCUCCGUUGGUGAACCAGCGGAGGGAUCAUUACCGAGUUUACAACUCCCAAACCCCUGCGAACAUACCAUUUGUUGCCUCGGCGGUGCCUGCUUCGGCAGCCCGCCAGAGGACCCAAACCCUUGAUUUUAUACAGUAUCUUCUGAGUAAAUGAUUAAAUAAAUCAAAACUUUCAACAACGGUUCUCUUGGUUCUG